CGGAAUGUUAAGUUAUCUAGACUGUGGUACUUCAAAUACCAAAGAAAGUGCUGCAAUACUUACAUUUCGUC
Molecule: transfer RNA, 71 nt
Filed under: Saxidomus purpurata
Lineage: Eukaryota; Metazoa; Mollusca; Bivalvia; Venerida; Veneridae
Description: Saxidomus purpuratus tRNA-Trp
Source: RNAcentral